RNAcentral lists this ribosomal RNA (252 nucleotides) under uncultured bacterium. Its description in RNAcentral is "partial 16S ribosomal RNA". It matches the Rfam family "Bacterial small subunit ribosomal RNA", at positions 524 to 776 of the family's 1533-position model. The record is from RNAcentral.
UACAGAGGUCCCGAGCGUUGUUCGGAUUCACUGGGCGUAAAGGGUGCGUAGGUGGCCUAAAAAGUUUGAUGUGAAAGCUCAGGGCUUAACCCUGAAAUGGCAUUGAAUACUGUUGGGCUGGAGGUUUGGAGGGGGGACUGGAAUUCUUGGUGUAGCAGUGAAAUGCGUAGAUAUCAAGAGGAACACCAGUGGCGAAGGCGAGUCCCUGGACAACACCUGACACUGAGGCACGAAAGCCGGGGAGCAAACAGG